RNAcentral lists this unclassified non-coding RNA (380 nucleotides) under Hevea brasiliensis (rubber tree). Lineage: Eukaryota; Viridiplantae; Streptophyta; Magnoliopsida; Malpighiales; Euphorbiaceae. The record is from RNAcentral.
GCGGCUGGCAGUUGGAAUCUUCAUUUCUGGACUUGUCUUUGAGGAUGAAGAUUUUAUAGUGCCAUGGAAAGGUCAUCAUGAUAACUUGGAGAGGUAUGCAUUGCAGUGGGAGUCUGAGAAUUUGAUUGCAUUGAGCACUGCAAUAAAGGACUGGCUUGCUUCAAAAAUUGCUAUGCAGUUGAUGACUGAAGGUGCCAUGUUGACUGUAUUAAGCAGUCUUUUAACAGCCCUGGCCUUACCAGCAGCUCUACUGGCUGCAACUGAUCUCAUAGACAGUAAAUGGGCGAUUGCAGUUGACAGAGCUGAUAAAGCUGGAAAGCUGCUUGCUGAGGUGUUGCUAAAGGGAUUGCAAGGGAGCAGACCUGUAACACUCAUAGGUU